CACAUGAUGGCCAGGAGCAGGAACAAAGAACAAAGAAUCCAGCCCCGCUGAGGAUUACCCAGCCCCGGAGUACGUCGAACAGGGGAUCCCGGCCGACGACCCCAGCACAGGCCACCGGGGGGCGCCCCAGGACACACGCCGCUGCUACUGCCUCUCGCACAGCCAGCCCCGCUUUAGCUCAUCUCCUCCCCGCUCCAACUCUAGCCCAACCCCCGUCGACGCCCCCUUCUACGCUACGUGGCUAGGGAUCUAGACCAGGACUGGGAGCCUGAGGGGUGGGGCAGAAGAGGACUCAGCGCCAGCGCUGAGGCCGCACCGAAUGAUCUUGGAGCACACAAAGUCCUGUGGAAGUCCUGGCAUGGUGGCUCACACCUGUAAUUCCAGCACUUUGGGAGGCUGAGGUGGGAGGAUCGCUUGAGACCAGGAGUUCAAGACCAGCCUGGGCAACAUGGUAAGACCCCCGUCUCGAUAACAAAUACAAAGCUUAGCUGGGCAUGGUGGUGUGUGCCUGUGGUCCCAGCUACUCAGGAGGCUGAGGCAGGAGGAUCGUUUGAGCCCAAGGAGGCCAAGGCUGCAGUGAGCUAUGGUUGCACCCCUGCACACCAGCCUGAGCAACAAAGCAUGACCCUGUCUCAAAAAAAAAAAAAAAAAAGUUCGUAUGACAAAGCUUGUCCCUCCUCUGCUCAGAACUCCCCAUUUCUGUCACAAAAAAAGUCACAGAAAAGGCCCUGUGUGAAUUUACUUCUUUCUUUACUUAUUUAUCAUUUAUCAUAUCUCCUCCCUAGAGGUAAACUCUGGGAACCUAGGGCUCAAACAGUGCCUGUCUCACGGCAGAUUGCCCAAGAAAUAUUUGGUAAAUUAAUUUUUUUUUUAG
Molecule: long non-coding RNA, 874 nt
Filed under: Homo sapiens (human)
Lineage: Eukaryota; Metazoa; Chordata; Mammalia; Primates; Hominidae
Description: HSALNT0256326
Source: RNAcentral